GCUGCGUGGCUCGCACGACCUGUUGAUGGUCGUCUCUUUCCCCGCGGAUGUAAGCUCGGCACGUCGCUGGCUUUUCCUUGCUCAUCGCCCGUGGAUAUAACAGAAACGAACCCACACCAUCCCUGUGCAACGCCGAAGACACGAUGGAUUCUCGUUCGCUCGGAUCUCGAUGGCUCCCUUGUUUCGUCGUCGUCGUCGUCUUACUCUGCGGCGUAGGUUUCACGCAUCCUGUCUCCGGGCGGAGCACCGGAGAGCCACGAUCAUUGACGGUUUCGUUGAAUGACUACGGCGGUGCACGAGCAAACCCAGGGCAUGAGCCGAAGCCCAAGGCAGUGCCCAAACUAAAGCACAGGGCAUGACCGAACCACGGCGUUGCUUCCUCUUUGUGGUGGUGCUCCUCCUCGUGUUGUGUGUGUGGAAAAAGGAGAGUUUACAGCGUUACUUCAUAAUGACCCUUUGUUUACCAAUAAAACGAGGCGUUUGUAA
Molecule: non-coding RNA, 486 nt
Organism: Musa acuminata subsp. malaccensis (wild Malaysian banana)
Lineage: Eukaryota; Viridiplantae; Streptophyta; Magnoliopsida; Zingiberales; Musaceae
Source: RefSeq, a predicted model, not a curated record